AGCGAACGCUGGCGGCAGGCCUAACACAUGCAAGUCGAACGAACCUUUCGGGGUUAGUGGCGGACGGGGGAGUAACACGUGGGAACGUGCCUUUAGGUUCGGAAUAACUCAGGGAAACUUGUGCUAAUACCGAAUGUGCCCUUCGGGGGAAAGAUUUAUCGCCUUUAGAGCGGCCCGCGUCUGAUUAGCUAGUUGGUUGAGGUAAUGGCUCACCAAGGCGACGAUCAGUAGCUGGUCUGAGAGGAUGAUCAGCCACAUUGGGACUGAGACACGGCCCAAACUCCUACGGGAGGCAGCAGUGGGUAAUCUUGCGCAAUGGGCGAAAGCCUGACGCAGCCAUGCCGCGUGAAUGAUGAAGGUCUUAGGAUUGUAAAAUUCUUUCACCGGGGACGAUAAUGACGGUACCCGGAGAAGAAGCCCCGGCUAACUUCGUG
Molecule: ribosomal RNA, 434 nt
Filed under: uncultured bacterium
Lineage: Bacteria
Description: partial 16S ribosomal RNA
Rfam family: Bacterial small subunit ribosomal RNA
Source: RNAcentral